Molecule: long non-coding RNA, 42095 nt
Filed under: Setaria italica (foxtail millet)
Lineage: Eukaryota; Viridiplantae; Streptophyta; Magnoliopsida; Poales; Poaceae
Description: long non-coding RNA (SITA_LNC001855)
Source: RNAcentral
UUUUAUUUUUUGUGAAAGAGUGAAAGACACAGAGUCUCAUAUCCUAUAUUUAUCAAGAAAUACAAUAACUAGUAAAAAGAAUACAUUUUGACACAAAUUUUAGUUGCUUGGUGCAGCAGGAGCCUGUCUCCAACCAUCUUUAAAAAUAAAUUAAAAGGAAAUACUGCAGCAGAAGAGGAUUUACCAAGAGGCAAGAGUCCAAGAUCCCUCCCAUAUAGGGAAGUAUUUUAGGGUUAUUUAUUUGAGCUUCCUAGAACCUUCUCCGCAUGAAAAAUUAGAAAUUCAAACAAACAUCGAACUUCUCAUGCAGCUUUCGGAAAGUUGGAAGUCAAAAAAACUGAAUUUAUAUAAAAAGCUAGAAAGCUCAGUUUUAUGAGCUUUUUGAGCUUUCGGAGCUCAAGAAGUAAAUACAUCGUCUAAAAACUCUAACAAUAGUUUUAAAAAAAACCUCAAAAGCUGCCACUCAGACCCUGCUGCAGCAUUGGACAUGUUUUGUCAUCAUCGAUAUUGUAGGCCCAAAUGGCAACCAUUUCAAAUAAAUCUUAGAUACAGCCCAAGACAGGGAGCUUUGUAAUUUCGCACGCAAUAGGCUAGUAUUUGGGCUUGACUUUUAGCUGGAACUAAAUUAGGCCCAUGUUUGACUUAGGCUUGGGCUGAGUUGAGUUCCUUGCUAAACUUAUGGAAACGUUAUCUUUUUUUUUCUUGUUAGCUUAUAAUAAAUCACUUCUUAUUUGUAAGACCAAACCAGAUAUUCUACAAAAAUGCGUGCGGUGCGUAUAAUGCAUAUCUUUAUAUGUCCAAAGUAUAAUUUUUUUUUAACUUUGGAAGCAUGCGGUGCGUAGUGUGCUAUCGCAAUAUUCAGAGUUGGCGGUGAGCAGGGUUAGAGUUAAGGAGAGGAUUUACCAAGGCCCCUCAAAUGUAAGCAGAACUGCUACCGAUGGAAUUUCAGGAAUCCAAGUUUCAUGUAAUUUACUUGUGUUAGAAAAAGUAUUUGUUUUAAAAUAUAAUAAUAUCUAUCAAUCUGACCUCAGGAUCACAAUAUUUUUCAUCUUGUAGCACAAUAUACGAAACAAUACCAUGAAAACCAAGGAACACGAGUUAGGAAGAAUAUUCAGAUAGAAAAUACCAUUUCACUUGACAAAAUGUACUUUCUGAAGUAGAAUAUCCCAGUCCACGAAUCCAUAUCUGGAAAAGAAAAAAGGAGAGGGGAAAAGCACCCUCGCUCGCAUGGGCCUCCUGGUCCAGCUCCCCAACCUCGCCGGCGUCCGGCGCCCGGCCGCCGCCGCCGCCUUCCCCCAGAGCUGCCGCGGCGGUCGCCUCACGGUAUCCGCCGCGGCGCCCGGCGGCCGCGUAAAGGAGGAAGAGGCCAAGGGGGCGGGGAAGAAGGAGAAGAUUGUGAUUAGAGUCUCCGACCCGGUGCGGGAGAGGAGGCUCCCGCCGCCGCUGUUCUCCGCACCGGACGAGCCGUCGGAGCGCCCACCGGGUCCGAAGGAGGGAGGGGGACGGGGUGACCAGGACGGCGAGGAGGCUAAGAAGCAGUACUACGUGAACAUGGGGGACGCCAUCCGCACGCUGCGGGAGGAGCUCCCCGUCGUGUUCUACCGGGAACCCAGCUUCGACAUCUACAGGUUUGCGCGAUUUCGCCCCCCUCGUCUUUUCCGUUAUCUCAAGCUGCUUCCAGAGACAAUUGCAGUGAAUUGUUGUCAAUGGUCGAUCCAUUUCUUGUUUGUAUGUUCCAUUGAGUGCCGGAAAGGUGUGGUAAAAUGGUUUUUUCCCCUUUAGUACCAUCUGCUUCGCCUAGACGAAUUAGGGAAGAAAUGGUGAAGAUUUGUUGUUUGUCGAGAUGCUCAUAGGUCGAAUUGAUAAGAAGGGUUGUGAAUAUUUGCAGGCUAUGUAUAACCAGCCAUAGAUUAAAUUUACCUGCCCUUUGGUAUCCGCUGGCUGCUGCUGGCAAAUAUAGGCUUGGUGUUUGUCCUGGUUGAGGUAAGAUGAGCAUAAUGUCUCUUAAAGAUGCAUGGUGGUUUUUACUUCGAUUAAAUUGGCCCACUUUGAUUAUCCAUUAGUCUUGCCUGCUUUGGUUGUAGACUAGAAAGUACUGUGAGCAUGGGUAUUUUUCCAAUUCCAGUCAAUUGCCUCCAUGAACUGCUAGAAUAUAGAGCAUAGGCUUUGUCAUAUGAGUGAGAUAUCUGAAUGUGUUAAGCAUCUAACGACCACAUAAUUUCCAACUUAUUGCACCCAAUAAGAAGGUUAUACAUUGGCAGUGGGAUUCAAUGGUAGUCUCUACUUCAUAUAUAGUUAAUCUGAGAAUUAAAAAAUGUAACGUGUAGGGUAUAAAUAUGAAGUCAUUUCCAAUCAAGCAGUCUGUUUGAAAAUCAGGAAUUUGUAGAGGUUGUAAUCUUCUAUAAGACAUGAGGUGUCAUCAGAAAUUAAUAUACACCCUUUCACUUGAAAAGAAACUAAUAUGUUGACCUAUGAACUGAAACCCCUUAUAAAGAAUGACAUCAUUCACUCAGUAAUGUUUUUUUCCUCGAAUACACAGGAGCUGUGUAUCAUUUCAUUAAAGAAGAUAACAUUCACUCAAUAAUUAAGUAGCACCAAUAGAAAUUUGAUAUAAAAUUGUUAUGGAUGACAUAUGGUGCUGAGCCUUGCGGAUGGCAUGGUGCUGAGGCCGGCGGAUGGCAUGGUGCCGAGGCCUGAGGCAGACAGCUAACCCGACAUUGUGGCGCGGCAUUGGGAGAACGGUGGCUCUAGGGAAGAGCAGAAGCGAGAUCGAUUCGGAACGAUCAAUCUGAUACCAUGAAAAUGAGAACAGAAAGAGAGAGUUUGGGAAAAGCACACUGCACAAUCUGUGUGGGCCUUAGCUUUCAUUAUAUAGCCAUAUACGGCUACAACAAAAAAGAUAGAGAUACCAAUAUACAAGGAAGGAGAUUAGGCCAGGAAACCAACUAACAGGCUAGGCGUGUCUCCUGUACAACUAAACAUGUGCAUGUUAACAAAUAGAAUAAGACACAUUGAAAUUGGAUGAACAUAAUCUUUCUUUCAAUACUGUUUUUCCUUUCUUCAAUAUAAUUGUAGUUUAAUUAAUCGGAACACGGAAGAUUGAAAAGUAAUAACCCACAUAACCAAAUGAAGGGCAUGUCAUCCAGAUUGGAAGGAUAUAAAAGUUGAUGCUAACUUUUUGCAUCCACAUUUUCUAGUAUUUGGUCUGUACGAAACUAUUUGUUCGUUAGUCAAGUUGAGUUCAGUAUUUUCGUCAGCCAACGAUUAGUUCGACUCUUCAGUUGGCCUGGGUGUGUGGUGUUGGGUUUGCUGUUUUUAGACUUUGCUCUCACUCCUCAUACAAAGGCAGAUCUCCUGUUGGUUCAUGAAAAAAAGGGCAUCCAAAGCCGAACUUUUCCCUUGGGUCUGAACUCUGAACCCAUCAGGUUUGCUGGAGAGCCUUGUCAUAAUCACUUCCUAAUUUUACCUAGAAAAGUAUUAUUGCACACCCUGUCCAUUCUUCUGCAACAAGGAAGUAGAGCAAAAUGACAAGAAACAGAGCAGCUGGAACAGAGAGGAAAAGGAGGGAGAGAGGGGUGUGCUGGCAAAGAAGAAUGAUAAUUCAGACAUGGGCAAAGCCAGAGAGAUAGAUGGAUAGAUCACUUUGUUUACUUACAUUGCAUACUUAAUUUCCUAACAGUCGAAUCUACACAAACCAACUACCAAAGAUAUUAAGACCCUGAAUCUAAAAUGUCUCAAAUUCUCAAGGUAACUUCCUAUCAAACUAUCAGAAUAAACUUAUACUAUAUUAUCUGGUGUGCUGCUGCUGGGGCCCACAUGCACAAGGAUGCUCUUAUUAUUCCUUAGUCCUAUAACAUUGCUAUGAGUUACUUAUUCCUGGUACUGAGAGUAUUCACUAGUAACAUUUUCUGACCGAAAACUCUGAGGAAAAUCCCCACAGUGAGAUAAUUUUUAGUCUCAUGACACUGCUAUGAGCUACUUAUCACUGGUUAUGAGAAGCUUGUUAAUGUUGUCAUAGUAUGAAAUGCAAGCUUAUGUAGUUUUGUCAACUAUGGCACACGGGAGUACCUGAAAUUGUAGAAAUUGUUGGCAACCUUUUUAUGCUCUUGACAGUAUUUUAUAAUGGUUAAUUAUGGCAUGUGCUUAUGCACCAGUGAAUACUUUUAUAUACCCUGGCAUAUAAUAUUCAUUUCUGUUGGCUUAUUGUUCAAUAAUGUUUCCGUGCUAACAUAUCUUUUACUGUCCCCAGAGAUGAUAUUGUCUUAAAAGAUCCUCUCAAUAAUUUCAAGGGCAUUGUUAAUUACAAAAGAAUAUUUUGGGCACUGCGGUUUACCGGCCAAAUUUUCUUCAAGGCGGUGUGGAUUGACAUUGUCAGCAUAUGGCAGCCUGUUGAUAAUGUAAUCAUGAUUCGAUGGAUUGUCCAUGGCAUCCCUAGAGUUCCAUGGGAGGGCAAUGGCCGCUUUGACGGCACCUCUGAGUAUAAGUUGGAUAAGAAUGGGAAGAUCUAUGAGCAUAAGGUGGACAAUAUUGCCAGGAAUUCACCAACAAAGUUCAAGAUCUUGCCUGUUGUUGAGCUCAUAAGAUCACUUGGAUGUCCAUCUACUCCGAAGCCAACAUAUUUUGAGACAUCAUGUCUAUCUUUGAUUCACUGCCGUUAUUUUGGCUGAGUUUGACUUGGAUGAGAUGUAACUGAUGCUAGAAAAUUUAGCAAACGAGCAAAGGUUAAGGUCCGACCUGAUGUCUCCAAAUUUUGCCGGUAAUGCACUUCAUCUACUUACCAAAAUGAGCAGCAGUUAAUUGUAAAAGCCAUGUAUUUGUACAGCGAUAGUCCUUAAUUUAGAAAUAGCUAUAGUAGUUCCUCUUGCCCAAGUUGCGUAAGCUAUUUUUGUCGUCUGGUGCUGAAAUUGACAGAUGUCUGGGGAACUUUUGCAUAUAUAUAUAUAUAUAUAUAUAUAUAUAUAUAUAUAUAUAUAUAUAUAUAUAUAUAUAUAUAUAUAUAUAUAUAUAUAUAUAUGUAUAUAUAUAAGGUGUCUCACACUGUGUGUGUCUGUGUAUGUAUGUAUAUAUAUAUAUAUAUAUAUAUAUAUAUAUAUAUAUAUAUAUAUAUAUAUAUAUAUAUAUAUAUAUAUAUAUAUAUAUAUAUAUAUAUAUAUAUAUAUAUAUAUAUAUAUAUAUAUAUAUAUAUAUAUAUAUAUAUAUCUUCUUGUGUUGCACGAAGGUGCAUCGUUAGUUCAUUGUACAGGCGCAGCGCUUCGCUAAAACAUGAAUUCCCUGUACAUGUCGAAUGCUGUGAGCUAUGAGAUCAAGUAUGUAUUCCUCUCUAGAUUAAGUUGAUGUUGCUUUGAUCUGUAGAUACAUUCCAGCUCAGAAGGACAAUAUAUGUAUUGUAGCUUAUUGGUGUCCUCUCGUCCUUAUUACUGAAAUAAAGAAAACAUUAAUUAUUUGCCUUGCCAUUUUCUUUAAAGCUAGUUUCCUUCUGUGUGUGUCUCUAUAAACUAUCAAUACUCCUCUUUUUCUUGCGUUUCAACUCAGGUAUAAGCACAACUUUGCUCUUGCAUGAUGCUUUUGUGAUUAGGAUCAUUUGUAAGCUACGAAGCAUGUUCUAUACAUGAAGGCAGCAAUUAUUAGCCAGUUCAGUUCCAUCAGGAACCUAACAAAAUUCUUGCAUUGUGAAAUAUUUAAGUCUGGUUAUAAAGCCCUCAGGAACAUUCUCUAUCCGAACUACAGAGGCAAAGACUACAGAUAUGUAACAUUACUUCAGGAAACCUGUUUCUAGUGAAUUUUGUAAGAAACAUUAAAUCAAAAUAAUUAGUGGUGAAAAUGGCAUGUACCUUAAUAAUAAAUCAAAUUGGUUUUUAGAUACAGAUACAUGUUUGAAUAUCAGGUGGGACAAAAUAAAAAUGUUCCAUUCCAUUUUUUUUAUUCAUAUGCAGAAUUGCUUCGAAGUUCAUAGGACUUCAAAUACAAAGUAUCAAAGCAAAGCAAGAACUUCAGAAGUAGCACUUUGCGUAAACAUAUGAGAUGUACAUUAUACAAAAAAAAAACUUAACUCUCGCCACAUCAAAAAUAUUCAUUGGAGUUAAGUUAUAAGCAGAAAGAGUAAAACUAACACCUUUCGCAUGCCAUCAUCCAUGAACAAGCACGGGAAAGUGUAUACAGCAAGUGCAUCUGCAUGCUUGCAUGGAGGCGCAUGGUGUUUCAGAAGCAGAGGAAAUCCCCCUUCAUCGUCGGCGGGAAGCCGGACUCGCCGCAGAUGCAGUCCAUCUUCCAUCCCGGCAGUGCAUUAGUGGCGCCGUCCUCUGCCCCUUUUCCGGUGCUGCCGCCCCACACCAACACGGCGGCUGGUGACGGCAAGUCACGUGUUCACGGACCAGGGAAGAGGAGCCACCGCUCGCCGGCGCCACCGCGUGGUUGUUGACGAUUACUCCGGCGGCAGCCUACCAUUCCCAUCCACGUCCCCAAUUCUUGCAGGUUCUUGGGUGUCUUCUUUGUGAAUCUGUGCGCUUUCUUCGGUGUCCUUUAAUUUUUUUUCCCCAUAAAUUCAUCUUAUCUAACUGUAACUCUUAUAGCAUUAAACAGAGAAGAGAAGUGAUUACCCAAACAAGGACCAUUAUCUAUCUCGUUGCAUUACAUAUUUUUUUUAAAGAAAUAAAGGACGAAGCUUUAUUUCACCGAAAUAACAUCCUGGCCUAUGCGUUAUUGGGAACAUAAUGUUCCUGGCCUAUACAACGGUAUAUAUUUCUGGAGCACAGCGUGUAGUCAAGGCUUAAAUCCGUUUGCUUCUUCACAAGUAGUUACCACGUCCAUGUCAUUUGCCUGCUCUGUAUCGCUGAGUUUUUUUGGAGGUUCCUUGCAUCUGCUGUAAAUGCAGUAGACAGCCAACUGAAGAAUCCCUGUGAAACAUCCCGCAGCGUUUGGCGACUUCAGAACAAAACAAAUUGGUCAGUAACUCACUAUGAGUGACAGAUGAUAGUGUAAAGCCAAGUUGCACACUAACCGUGAUAUAAGGAUCCCUUCCUAGUAUUCCAUAUAUCAUCCAUAUUAAACUGGUUAAGAAGGAGAACAAUGACAAGUAGAAAGGCAUGAACUCAACACUUUUCGUCCUCAUAACUUGUUUCUGCAGUUGUGAUGAGAAUGCAAAGAGUUCAGAUUAUUGAAGGUUGUGCAAAUAAAGGCUAGCUUCCAUGAUUCUGAAACCAGUAUAAGUGACUCUACUCACCACAGCUACAAGCGGAGAGCUGUACAUCGACAUGGCAGUUACUAUACCAAUACUUCCAACAAAUACCUUGCGCAUAUGGUGGGUAUGGAUGAUAAGGCUUGAGACACAUGCAGUUACACAGAAGAUUGCCAGCACUAGAGAGACCAUUAGCAUGACAAAUUUCUGCAAGGUUGUGUCAAACUUAGGAUUGCUGGUCGUCUAAUGAGUAACUCAAACAUUUUAAACCUUCAUGAUCACAUAAUUCACAUCCAUUAAAACUUCUUGGUGAAAUACUGAAACUAAUGUUGUAGCAUUUCCUUUCAUUUUUAUUUUUUUUGAAAAAAGUUAGAGUGCAGAUGUAUGUAAUCACACUGAAACAUGAAUAAUGACUUCUUUAAUGCAUUAGGCAGAGCUCCUGCCCUUUCACUUAAAUAGAAAACAAUAAUACGUAACUCCAUUUUUCAUCAAACAAUGUACUGGUUAUCAAGUUCUAGUAGAUCUAAAAUUGAAACUCAGUACCAGUUUGCAGAAGUUAUCCAGUUUCUAUGCAGAAAGCACGGUUUUGGCUUGUCAAGUCUACGUACCAUCACAUAGUUCCCCAACUAUUUAUUUCUAGUGUACCAAUUCUAGUCUAUAGUGAAAAAGAUUUAAAUAGAGAGACUCCACAGAUAAUACCAUUCAGUUUAACUUGAAAGUUUUAGGAUGCUAAAGGAACAUUAUGAGUUCUUCAGAAAUACCUAGCCACCUACCCUUUUUUCUCUUGGCGCAAACCAUAUGUAUAUGCUGAUGAAUAAGGUUUCAAAGAUUCCUCCUAUUGAGCACGUACCGGAGACUGACAGGUUCUCCCAACCAUAACUCACAACUGGAAAGCCGUACCAGCUGUAUGUUAGUGUGCUGAACAACGCUAGGAUAUAUGGUACACAUGAGAAUUCUCGAACACUAGCCUCCUUUAUCACUCUUUUAAACGUCAAUCUGGAUCACACAAGAAAUACAGUAGUAAGAAAUAUGACAAACUAAAUAUGUUUACAUCAAAUUAGUUGAGGAUGUAAUUUGUACAUUGGAACUGCAUAGAGGACUAUACUGACUGCAGAUGCUGCAAGGAAGAAACAAGAUCGUGUUAUUACAAAUUAAAGAUGGAGUGGAGUGAAGGCAAUUACAUUGUAGAUGGAAAAUACCUAUAAUUCCAACUAUUACUCGUAUGCUCGUAACCAUUGUUGCUGUGGCUUUUUACUAGUCCUGGCACGUACUGUUGGCCAGGAGCCAAAUGUUCCACUGAUAUUAUUGUUUACAACAGAAGUGGCCUACUUGUAGUGCACAAGGUACUGCAGUCGCUUAAAUCAGGAGAAAAAGCCAGCUUUAAAGACAAUAAUGUUAGAAUAUCGCAUGAUGAGCUGCUUACGCUUUUUUCAUAUUAAAAACAAUGAUUGCUGUAGAUGCAUAAUAAUGCAAACAAAGUCUUAUAUAUUCUCGGGCAUCUACCUAAGAAAUUUCAGUGCUGUUCCUUCAAGAAUCAUUAAAGCUUUACAUGUUUAAUUGUUGUCCGUUUUUGUUGUUGGACCUGCUGGUAUCUUCAAGAAUAAGGAAUAAUUACAUGAAAUCAUCCAUAGUGAUCUAUAAUAAUAACACCGAUAUGCAGAUACGGUACCAAACUUCUAGGUUUGCUUUGAAUGUGGGGCAACAUUAUUGAAAUUUCUUGGUAUUCUCAAGCAUCAUGUUGACGCGAGAGCACUCCAAACACUAAGCAUUGAACUUGUGCAACAAAUCACAAACAAGAACCUUCCUGCCAGGGACCCUACUGGGGAAGGUGCACCUUGCUGUGAUGGGUUGUUCUAGUCAGCGCCUCAGUGCGCCACCUAAGAAGCAUUUAACAACCAUUAAGAUGAAGAAAGAACAACAAUUAGGGUUUGCAAAGGGAUUAGGGUUUUAAGAGGCAAAUAGUAAAAGAUACUUGUGUAUUUUGAUCGAUUGGAUAACCUCGGCGUGGACUCCUCCAUAUAUAUAAGGUGGAUAUGUCUUGCCCCAUAUACAAAUCAAAUUCAUCACAAGAAAGAGGUUGGGAGUAUUUCAAUUUCUGAUGUAUUAUCUUGAUGUGGCGUUCUUGAAAUUAAUAAAGCUUCCCAUUUCAAAAUAAAAAAAAUAUAACAUUCCUAUUUCUUAGUGAACUUAGACCAAAAUCAACCAAAGGGCGAUGCUAACAACAACUCAUCCACCAUAUUAAUGCUUAGGGCAAGAUUUAUGCUACCAUCAACAAAACAGAACCCAAUCUUUACUAUCCAUCAUCGCCGCUACCUUUGCCCAUCGCCACUGCACUUAUCUGAAUCUAGUUCCCAUCAAAUCCUAUCAACUUGCAGUGAUCUUCCAAAGGAUCCUCUAUGCUGCCAUUGCCAUGUGGACGUGGUACAAGCAGGACACAGCCGAUCACCUUGGAGGCAUGAUGAUGAAAUAUAGUGGGAGAAGGUGCCGGACAAUGAUGGAGUCCUCUGAGGCGAAGGCAACCAAAGGUCGCGUUGGGCGUGAUCAUGGUUGAUGAGGAGAUUUGGCUACAUAUGCUUGGUCGAGCAAUGAAGUUUGUGGUGGCACAAUUGGAAGCUGGAUGAAGAUCGUGUUUCUAGCAUGGUAUAUGGAUUUAUGGAGGUGGAGACUGUGAAGGCAAAAUGCCUAUUCUUAGUUUCGGAAGGCCCGAUUUCAACGUACGUAGCAAUAGAGGUGGAGGCUGAGGUGGUGCAAAUCCCCAAUAGGGAGAGGAGGAAGGGGAGCUUUAUUGUGUAUUGGGCUUGGUCAGGAAGUUACAGCAUGCACUAUGGGGGUGAUAUGGCAUGUACAUGGAGGCAUCGUUGUGGCCAUGGGGCCAAGGGGCACCAUUUCCUACUAAUAAAAACACUUAUAUUGGACACCUCAUCUCUCACAUAUUCUUUAAAACCGUACAGUUAUUAUCUCUAAUGCCUCAUAUUAAAAACCGACUACACGAUGAGGUUUGCUGUUUAGAACCAUGGGUGAUAAAGGCUCACCCCACCAUGGUCCCAAACAAAAAUUAUGAGAAUUCUAUCCCCCAUGCUUACUUGGAAUGGUGAGGAUAGCUCCGUCAUCUCUUCAAUAUCAAUAUCAAAUCCAUCAUGCCUUAUGGAUUUAAAUAAGAAUAGUGGGAGAUAAACUAUGUUAUUAUUCACACAAUUCAAAACUAAUAUCUUUGACAAUUCCAAAUAAUUAAGUACCAUGAGAAACUAUAUUCUCCCAGUUAAAUAUUUGUCAAAAAAUGUUUAAAAUUGAUACUCCAUCCCUAUUAUACGAUGACUUUUGGGGAUUUUAGGACAAAUUAAGUUGGAAGAGAAAAGCCUUUCAUCCCCCCUCCCCCACUAAAGCAAACGGGGUAACAAAUAAUUGGCCAUGUCUUAGUUUGGUUGGCACAACUAGUGACUGGGUUAGCUCAUGAUUGGCCAGCUCUUGAUUGGAUACCCGAAAGUCCUAUAGCUAGGGACAAAAUUCAAACACUAGAAGUCAUUAUAUUUAGGGAGGGAGGGAGUACUUUUGAUGAAAUACUUCUACAAUAAAAUGCAAUGAUUAUUUACAAAUAUAUUAUGUAGUAUCCAUGGUCAUGGACUAUAUAACAUUGUGAAAUAAUAAUGUUGAAUCAUGGUUAAGUAGGAUCUAACUAUAACGGUAGUAAGAACGUAACAAAAUAAUGGUUUACAAAGUGGUUAGUUGUAUAAACUCAAAUUAUAUUAAUAUUAUAGUGAGAUGAUGAUAUAUAGGUCAUAUAAAAAACAACUCUAAAUUAUUAAUUAUAUAAUGAAUUUAUAAUAUAUUAAAUCAUGUAUUAUAAAUUACUAAUUCUGAUGAAAAAACAUUUUAUAUAAAAACUGUAGCUCUCCAUGGUAUCUACUCCCUCUAUCCCAUGAAGAGUGCAAUUCUAAUUUUUCUAGGACAGAUUAGUGGUGGUGUGAAAAGACUCUAAUACUCUCAUUUGUUGGCCACAUGCAGUAAGUUUUCUAAUUCUGAUGAAAAAAUAUUUUUAUAUAAAAACUGUAUCUCUCCGUGGUACCUAUAAUUUUGUAGUUGACAAUAUUUUAAUAUAUGAAGUCAUUUACUGAAAUAUUCAUGCAAAAUUUCAGCGAACAAGAAUCAAUGGAAUAAAGUAUAGGUGGAAUGCUAAGGAGGAUUCGAGCGAGGGGGUGGGGGGUCAUGGGUUUGAAGCUUGGAAACCACACAUCCGUGUAUUUCACAUAAGAGACACAUGUGGUGUGCAAUGCGCUACAGGGUGGCUAGUUUGGGAUGGUCUUCGACUCCAUAAUGUAUUUUGCUAUUUUUAACGUCCAUAUGCCUAUUUAAUUUGAUGGCGAAUGAAAGGUAGUAGGAGCCGUGGGCGAUUACCCUUUGUGUAGUAGUGAUGGACGGCGCAGUCGAGGAUGCUUGAUGGAUGGUGCAGCCACGACGAUGCUGAGAAACACCACCAUGACAGGAGCAACUGUGGAUGAAGCGGUCAUGGACUCAUGGUGCCGCCCGGCGGCGUGGUGGAUGCUGCGACGGUGGUGGUCAGUGAUGGAGUAUCCUUGUUUUUUGUUGUUCUUUUCUUAUCUUAUCUUUUUUUAAUCCAUACAAAUCGAACCAUGCAUCUGUAGUACUAGCACUAUGAGUCAAAUGAAAUUUUCUAUAACAUCCACAUCACACAUAGUUCACACGGUCCAUCACCCUUUCCUCCAGGGCUUGGGGUUCGAUUCCCCCACCAACAAUGCAAGUUAUGAUAAAUUUAGAGUUAGAAAGGGCAACUUGUAUUUUAUAUUUGAUUAUGAUAUGAUCAAAUGUCCAAUGGUCAUUCUUUUUUCCAGCUUGAGCUUUUAAUGUAGUCUUUGACGAAUAAUAUGUACGUAUAUAUAAGAACAACCCGGUGAAAAGAAACGUAUUAUUUCUUAAUAUAUUAUAGCCUUAUAUAUAACUAGCUUUGAAGAUUUCUUAAAAUAUAUCUUGGACGGUUCGUGAAAGGAACCAUGGGGGACUUGCGAGCCAUUUAAGAUGCAUGACCCUUUGUGUAGUAGUGCAUGCAUGAUACAUGUAAGAUGUUACCGUAACGUACCUGAUCGAUUCCACAUUUUCUUAGUUAAAUUAUUCCAGAAAAAUUAUCCAACUUGAUGGUAGGGGUCUUUCCCAUCUGGUGCGGAUCAUCCAUCAUGCAAAUCAGAAUAUAGUAGAUGAUCACAGCAUACUAUAACAACGAGCAUAACUUUUGCAAAGGUGCCUACGUCUGGCAUUUUAAAGGGUGUUGAUUGUCCGCCCAUGAAGAGAUGCGGUACAACUUUGGAACAGCCAAUUGUUGUGAUCUGGUAGGAAUCCCUUUGCAUACCUGAAGACGGACUGCAUAGCUGCUAGUAAGCUAAGUGAAGGGUCCCAUCAUUAUCCUACAAGAACUGAUUCUGCGUUGGGGACAAAUUCUCUUUCCUGGGAACCAUUCAGAUGCUGUUGGCUGCUCCGAUCGAUCCUCAGCGCGUCCCUAACAGAUGUGCUUCGUAUCUACGCCACAGGUUUCUCGUGUCCAGCAGAAACGCUACGUACGAAAUUGCCAUGUCAUUGUCAUGCAAGGCCGUGUUGUUUCUAAUCUUGAUCCUGGCACAUGAGAACCAUCCAUCCCAAGUUAAUGUGUGGUUCUCACUUCUCAGGAACCAGUCCGGCUUCCAUCCGGGCAGCGACGUCUCAGGCAACCCCUGUUAGAGUAUAUGGUAAGAAUCAUAUCCAAGAGAUGACACCACCGUUGGUACUCGCAAGUUUCUGGAUACGGUACGGUGAACCUGCCUCUCCUCGCGUGUUUCCCUCCAUGUAUGUGUAUCAGUGUAUCGAGGUAAAUCUUGACUUAGAGCAGCCGCGCGCACAGUUGUCGUUGUUCUGCUGGUUGGCCAUGGUGACGAGUGGAACAACGAGGACAGAACGGAUUGGGAGGUUAGGUUGAUACCAUUAUGCAUGAAAAGAAAUCAGUUAAGCAAGAAUAGCAAGACAAUUCUCAUUGAUAUGUUUGCCAUGUACAUAUACACGAUGUACAAUCUGUUUACAAGUUGUUAGGUCGCAACAAUCUACACAAAUAUCCUUGAUACCAUGCACAAAGCAAGGCUAUCCUGAUACACAGGAAGCUGAAUGUACGCCUUGCGGUGUGGAGCGCUGUUGUCGGACAAAGAACAGGAAUUGAUGAAGGAGUAUUCUAUCUAACCCUUAAAUCAGAAAUUUGAGAAAAAUAGCUCAUCUCUAUAUAAAAUCAAUAUAAUUGUUACACAAGGUUGAAAGGAACUAAAAGUCUGCAAAAAUACUCCACUAAUGCGUUAGUUAUGCAAACUGCUUGACAAUAGAAUAUCCUAAUAAAUUAACUAAAAAUAGGAAAUAAAUGCAGGUGCCUCGCCAUUUUGACCUGGUGGGUGCUGAGGAAUUCAGAUGAACAGCAGUUUUCCCCAUCAUCAGUUUAAAAUGUCAUGCGUACAAUGUCCACAUAAUACUUUGGAUUGUUAAUUAAUUUAACAUGUUUUCCUCCAUCAGAUACCAAGUAAUCAUCACAUAAGAUAUGAUAUUUACAGUCGGCAGAUAUCCGACCGGCUACGUAAGACAUCCUGUCUUUUUAGAAUGAAACGACCAGAGGGGGUAGAGGAACUGAUUGCAGGUGCGCAUUGAUUUCUUUGAGGAAACUAGUUUUACAAACACAGCGUUUGUGCUGUGAAAAUGCACCAAGAGAAAUAGCAUCAAAGCAGUUCCAGAAAUAGAUAACUGCUGCGUAUCCAAAUACUACCAUUGAAUCUCUCUGCUAGAAUUGCAGGAAUACAACAAGGCAGUUUCUUAAUUAAGAAAAGAACAGGCCUUCGAGCUAAGGCUUACAUCCAUUUGUGUCUCCAAGAGUAGUUGCCACUUCCAACUCGCUUAUUACCUGCUCAAUAUCAUCGUGUGUUUUUGGUGGAUCCUUGCAUCUGCUGUAAAUGCAAUACACAACCAACUGAAGGAUUCCAGUUAAACACCCGACGCUGUUUGGUGCCUUCAGAACAAAACAAGUUGGUCGGUAACUCAGUUUGACAACAACAGUGGUGCCAACAUAAGGCAGAAGAAUCACAUGACAAUAGUAGAUUUAGUGUAAAGCUUAAUUGCAUACUUACAGUGAGAUAGGGAUCCCUUCCUAGGAUUCCAUAUAUCGUCCACAUUAAACUAGUUAAUAAAGAAAACAGCGACAAGUAGAAAGGCAUGAACUCCACACUUUUCGUCUUCAUAACUUGUUUCUGCAAGUUCGGGAGUGCAAAAAAGCCAAUUAGUAGAGAUGAGCAAAUAAAAAUGCCUCCAAUGCAUCCGUGGUUCUGUUACAACUGAUAGUACUCACCACAGCUACAAGCGGAGCACUGUACAUCGACAUGGAAGUUACGAUACCAAUACUGCCAACAAAUAGCUUGCGCAUAUGCUCCGUGUGGAACGUAAAGAUUGAGAAGGAUACAAUCACGCAGAGGAUUGCCAGAAUCAGAGAUACCAUUAGCACUACAAACUUCUGCAAGGUAAAGAGAAUCAUUGAUCAGCUUGUGCAUAUAUAACUCAAACUUUUUAAGCCCACAUGAUCGCAUGUAUUAAGACUUCAAAUAAUCAUUCAUAUGUCUGCUGCCUGGGUCAAACGUACUGAUGCAUUAGCUAAUUGCAUUUCAUUUCAUUUAAAAAAAUCAUAGUGCAGAUAUUAUGUUCUGUCUUACAUGUGUUGGACAAGAAUAAGGAACUUGUUUAAUAUAUUAGGCAAGUGAUCCUGCCCUUUUGCUUAAACGGAGUCAAAGGACACAAGAAUAAGUAACACUACUUUUCUGAAAAGAUGCGAAGUAGUAACACCAGUUUCAUUAAAUUUAGUGGUUCUACUAAGUAGGUGCUCUUUUUUUCAUUAGCAAGUUUGUCCCUGUAGUUGUUGGGGGUUCAAUCUCCAAAAGUUGUAUGGUUUUGGGGCCCAAUUUUCCCUUAAAAACUGGCCAAUCCUCUUUUUCUAGUAAUACUAUGGCAAAGCUUUGACCGUCCUGAAAAGGGGCUUUUUUCUUUUUUACUUCCUACGCAGCAGAUACUUGUGUAUUUGGCUUGUCAUAGUUGCCCAAGAUUUUGUUUCAGCAAGCAAAUUAUCGUAUGAUAGUGAAAGUAACAAGAGAAACUUAGCAUUCAGUAAUCUCAGAAGUUUUAAGAUUCAGCAAUCUCUUCAGAAGUUGCCUACCUUUUUCUCUCUUGGUGCAUACCAUAUGUAUAUGAUGAUGAAUGAGAGCUCAAAGAGUACUCCGAUAGCGCAGGUACCGAAGAGUGACAGGUUCUCCCACCCAUUACUCACUACUGGAAAGCCAUACCAGCCCCAUGUGAGGGCGCUGAAAAGAGCUAGGAUAUAUGGUAAGCAUGAGAAUUCUCCCACACUGGCCUCCUUGAUGACUCUCUUAAAUGUCAAUCUGGAAAACAAAAUCACAGAAAUAUAUCGUUAGCGAUACGCCAUCAUGCUGUUUCAAUCAUGUUAGCUCAUCAGGAUGUAGUCAUGUACGCUGGAACUGCAUAGAGGAGCACGCAGACUACAGAUCCUGCAAGAAAAAUUAAAAGACGAGGUGGUGUUACAGAUGCGAAAGCUGAAUGAGUCAAGCUAGGGGCGUAGUUUGCAGAUAGAAAAUACCUAUAAUUCCAACUAUGACGCGCAAGCUAGUAGCCAUUAUUGUUUCUAUGAAGGCUCUACGAGUAGUGUUAUUUGCCGCAGGGGGUCAGGAGCUAAAAUGUGCCACUGAUUCGUGCAUUGUUUACAAUAAUGGUCUCCUAUUUAUAGCACACGAAACAAAGUUGUCUGAAGCAGGAGACAAAGGUAUAGCUCAAGCCACUAUGCUAGAAUAUUGCGUCCUAAGCUUUCUGCAAAAGCAAAGAAAUACGGACCAAGACUUUCAUAUAUUGUCUGGUAUCUGCAUGCCUAUUAGGAGCCUUCGAGAAUAGUCAUCAAAGAACGAGAUACUCCACUUACAGUAGUAAUUUGCUACUGGAGAGGUGGACACAGUAGCUGUGCAUUAGGGUGCAUCUGUACCAUUUGUUCCAUUUCAAACGGUCCAGAGAUCAUUGACGACCUACAUAGAACUAUAGAAGCGGUACCAUAUCUUUUUGCUACAGUAAUCUUGCUCUGCAUGGCUCCAUAGCAUCCGACACAUUACUCUGCUGCUUAUCUGCCGUAAUCUGAAUAAAGCUAGGCACAAGAUCUGUGUCCACAAAGACAAAGCUUUCAUAUUUUUUCGUGAUCUGUCCGGCCGCCAAGAACAGUAUUUGUCGAUGAAGCGAAGAAAAUGAACAUGCGAACAGUACAACCUAGUAACAUGCUAGUGCACAAAAAUCCAACAACUUGUAAGAUUUCUAGAAAAAUAAAUUAACUCCAUUCCGUAUGAAACAAACUUUGAUAGGUUUGUAAAGUUGUUACCUGCCCUUUAAAAAUAUGUGAAUCCAUGAAAUUAUUAUCAAAUUUUCUAUAAUAAUGAUAAUGUGCGUUUAACUUUUCAAAUACAUAAUUGAUUCUCUGUUGAUCCAAAAAAAAUUAAGCCAAUUUUGCUAGUUUCCUUUUUAUUCAGUACAUGCAUCUACAUAUUGAUUGAAGUUGUUGCAUAAUGGUACUUUAAAUGAAUGAGGUUCAGUACUCUUAAAUAAUAGGCUGUGCGUUGUUUGAUAUGCCAAUCACCAUAUGACCAUAAGGCUUUGUUAAUUUAUUGCUUUGAAACUUUACCCAUGAGCUGAAACAAUAUAAUAAGAGAAAUAAUAUGGAUAUAUGCCUGUAUCAUGCAAAGGUUGGAACAGUGUUUCCUUUUCCUAGAAAAAGGGUAAACAUCAGAUUGUAAAUAACAUUAAUUCAAUGAAAGAAAAUAAUAAAAUAGCUGAGCGAUUGGUAUUCACAUUCUAUAGAUUUUGAUCCAUUAGAUUAUUUUAAGUAGUGUAACUAUAAUAUCUUAAAUACGACCGAAUAUUAUACAAUAGGCAUAAGACCAAUAAACAUUGUUAUGAACUUAAUUAGGCUUAUGAUGUCCGCCUAGCACUGUUGUAAACAAAAUUUUAUUUCUGUAGUAAAAUAUUUAUUUUGAUCGGAAUAUAACUAUCUUUGAUUAUACCUAUUCUAAGAAGGCACCAGGCCACAAAAGAUUUGGGCUGGCGGCUAAAAGGCUCUGUGCUGGUGGGCCGAGCACCCGCUAGCAACUUUGAGCCAGUACAAAUAGCGGUCUAGGCUCAUGGGAGACGUUAGCCACCCGCCAUCAUAGAGGCUUUCUGUGCUAUGCCACCCGUUAGGAAUAUUUAUUUUCUCACCCUAUAUAUUAUUUCUCUUGAUUUGUUUAUAAUUUCUAUUUUCCGUCAGUUUUUAGCCACUAAAUUUAAAAAUGUAUCUCCAACCAUGGAACAAUGAACUUAAAUAAUAAAUAAUUCAUAUUAUUAAAAAAUACAUCGUACAUAAUAGAUAAUUCAAAUUAUUCAACAAACUUGAAUAAUAAAUAAUUCACAUAAUUCAACAAUUGGAAUAGAGCUAUUCGUCCAUCUACGAUUGGAUCCAUCUAUGAAGACGUGUGCAUUCGUCCGCCACACCAUUUGGAUCAAAGAAUUCUCCGUCCUCAUGACAAAUCUCCCGUUGGAUAAACCUCACCAUGUCCCUACAAAUGUUGACGAUGCUUUUGUCUUCGAGUGCCGCAUCGCGAGUGUCAAUCCUAGGCGUCUACAGUUAUACAGUAAAUGAAGAUUAGAAUGUAUUAUCAUUAGGAAGUUAGCACAUGGUAAUGUAUAAGAGACUUACGUCUUCGGGGUUUGUCCGGUACCUCCUAUUAUUUCUAAGGAACUCGCACACUUAAUAUUUGCAUAGCACAGAGCUAGGAGGUUGCUUGUGGCACUGCAAUCGAAUAGAAAAAUGAUGAGUUGUUAUAAAUGACAAGUCUACAUUAUAUGAAAAGAAACCAAGUUUUUAUGUUCUUACCCUGUCGGGAUACGAGGUAGGCUACGCUAGCGCAAAUCAAAAUUUCUACCGCGUAUAACCAGGAAGAACUGCCGUAUAAGGAUCACGGGAUUACCACUCGACGCACUACUGGUGCGGAAGAUGUAGAUAUGCGUCGGUGCAGUGAAGACGAUCACGUAGUCGUACGUAGUCGAACAACGUAGUCGUACGUAGUCGAUCACGUCCAGCGGCUCCUCAGCAGCUCGUCCACGUGCACAGCAAGAUCGCCUCCGGUGCCGCGGCUCGUCGUCGGCUCGUCGUGGCUCGUCGGCGGCUCGUCGAUGGCUCGUCCAAGUGCUGCAGGCGCAACACCUCCAAGGUAUCCACACGUGCAGGGAGGAAGCGUCGCAAGCCGGAUUGCUAGAUCCGCGAGUUGCAACAGGCGAGGGCGUGGGAGGCGCGGCAAGUGUGUUCAGCCAAAAGGUGUGAACCCUAGGGCGCCCCCACCCCUCUAUUUAUAGAGGUUCCUGAUGGGCCUCUGGAUCCGAGGCCCAUUAGCACUCCUAAACCUAAUCCAACUCGGAUCAGAUCCGAAUUGGGCUUCCAGCCCCUUAAGUGUGUGACCCUAUGGGUUCGGAUACGUAUAGACAUGGCCCGAGUACUCCUACUCGGCCCAAUAGUCGGUAGCGGCCUCUAGCAAGACGUGCCAACUCCUAUACGCAUACGAAGAUCAUAUCAGACGAACCAUCACAACAUAAUAUACAUGCUAUUCCCUUUGCCUCACGAUAUUUGGUCUAGCUUCAAGCUGACCGCUCUUUCUCGAUCCUGUGAUUCGGAAUCCCUUUGUAGGUUAACUCUUAACCGUACGUAGCAUGGCCAUGCAUUUUCGGAUCCGAUCACUCGAGGGGCCCAGAGAUAUCACUCUCAAUCAGAGAGGGGCAAAUCCCAUCUUGAUUGACCAUGUCUCAUAGCAUGCUUCUUGACAAACCCGAAAGCUACCUUUAUAACUACCCUGUUACGGCGUAGCGUUUGAUAGCCCCUAAGUAGGUCGAUCCACAUCUAGAAUACAUGCGACAAUCUCAGGUCUAAGGACAAAGCGUAUAUGUUGUUUAAAGAGAGAACUACUUCUCGUGUUGGGUCAGUCCUAACACAUGUCUCCACAUGUGUCCACAUUAUUAGUUCAACAUCUCCAUGUCCAUGACUUGUGAAACAUAGUCAUCAACUAAUACAUGUGCUAGUCUAAUAUUCAUGUGUGUCCUCACAUGAACUCCGACUAGGGAUAACUUUAGAAUAACCAUACAAGUAAAGAGUUUCACAUACAAUUCACAUAAUUGCAAAUCAAUUCAAGUAGCCUUUAAUGGAUAUUCAAUGAACACAAUAUACAAAUCAUGGAUACAAAUGGAAUAUCAUCAUCUCUAUGAUUGCCUCUAGGGCAUACCUCCAACAUACCCAUCUAUGUGUUAUUAUUUUCAUCGCUUUCUUCCUAUUUUUUCAGGGCAUUCCCUGCCUUUCAGUACGUAAAUCCUGUGUGCACUUUGAGGAUAUAAAGACAAGAGUUGGUAAUAUAACUUAGGUGCAUAGAAUCUCAACAUGCAUUUAAGUACUGCUAAGGGAUGUCUUACUUCAGUACAAUGCCUAGGAAUUCCUUGUAACUAUCUUUGGUAAAUCUAGCUGAGUUGAGGAUCAUUGCAAAUCCAAGCUUGGGGUAAAUACAGAUGCAAAUCUAGUUGUCUCUGCAUUAUAUUAGAAUAAUUUAUAUUAUAGAUGGCAUUAAUUAGAACCAAGUAUGUAAAUAAUAAUUUAAACUAGCUAGCUUACUAAAAAUUGUAAGCCCCCAUGAUCUGCUGAUUGUGAGCCUUUUUCCUUGUAACUCUUGCAAUGUACACGAACACUUUGUGCAUUUAUUCUUUGUGGGCUUUUUCCUUUAUACCAUUUUUCUCCGCUUGUGCCUGUGCUGCUUCCAUUUUUGCUUUGACCCUUUCAUUCAAUUUGAACUUGUGCUCUAGCUCGCUAAUUCAUGCUGGGUCAAGGUACGCUACCGAGUACCUGCCGUUCAUCAAUUCUUCCUCUUUCCAUUGCAUCCUGCAGAAUAGGUAGUCGCUCAGGUACUAGACAUAUAAAAUACGUAAAACCCAUGUAUGCAGUACAUGUGGACUUACAAGCACCAUGUUUAAAUGAGCUGGACGUCAAUGUGUUGAUGGCGGUAAAGUUUGUACAAAUCCUCGAAAUUGAUCACAAUCUCGUAAUCCCAAGUGCCAAGGAAAACCUUUUUUGGGAUACACGUGGUUAUUACUUGAAUGCCUUGCUUCAUUACGUCCAUGGUCCAUCCAUGCAGCUUAUUGAGUUCCCAUGGACCCUCCAGCAGAUCCCACCGAUACAAGAAUGGUUUGCCAUGCUCAUAUUUAUCUGGGACUUCAUCUGACGUAAAGAAAUUGAGGCCUUCAUCUAUUUUCUUUCACUGAAAGGGGCUGCAAGCUACCGAUUUCUCACCGGAAGAUGAAGCCUUCUUCUUCAGUAUGUUUAAAACUUGUCGACUUGUGUCGAUGGAUCCUUAUUAUCAUAUGUCCUGACCAUUCGAGGUACCGCUGGCGGCUGGGAAGGUGGAGAUGGCAGCCUCGGCGAUGUUGGAUCAUCGCCUUGGAGAAACGAAGUCCAUUCCUCCUUAGUGAGACCUUCUAGAACAGGUGAUAGCGGCAUUGGCUGCUCGCCCUCAUUGAUUGAGUCAGCUGCUUGCCCUCAAUGGUAGCUACCUACACAUGUGACUGCGUCGGUUGUGCCGUGUCAACAUUUCACUGUACCAUGGGUUCAUCUUGGUUCGGUCGUGAGGUUUCUGGCGACGCAUUAAUAUUCAGAACGAUAUCUCGGUGAUGCCACAAUAUGUACUAGUUCAUCGCAUCACCGAGAACCUCAAUCCCCUCAUCAGUAGGGAUGUCAAGCUCGCAAAACUCAUCCAACAUAGUAACAACUUGCACCCAGGAGUAUUCUAGCGGGGGUUCCUUUGGGAACACAUGAGUUGUUACUACCAUGCUGGUUGCGACCUCUCAAAACUUAUUUUGUUUCCUUCCAUGAGGUAUAACCAACCUGUAUGGUCUAUCCACCUGUAUCUCAUCUAUAGGAUACCUCACGUUUGCAAUAGACCCAGCACUACUCAAAGCAAUGUAUCCUGUGUUGGCUAGCUGUAGGGGUGGCAAGAAUGCUAGGGUUGGUCAUUGCUUGUGCUUGCUGGGUGGUGAAGAACUCAAUCAGUUCCUGCUUAGCAAUUUCUCUCAUCUUCUCCUCAAGGUCUUUCUUAUAACAGUCUCGCUUCCUAUAGCUUCCUUGGUCGUUCUAGAAUGCUUUACCCCAGGGCAAUGUUGAUGACAUCCCCUGAACACGCUCAGAGUGCUCCACGGUUCCGAUUGUGGCAGUUAGCUAAUCUCUCUCCCUGUCCGGCUUGAAAAGACCCUUCUUUUGCAACUCGGUGAGCUAUUCCAACCUCUUGUAAAUUUCUGUUAUUGUUGGGUGUUUGAAUGUAACCUUGCCCUCGGGUGUGAAUACCGAAAUUUGAGCUAGCACCCAAUUCCUGCUGCGCUCAUCCAAACCUUCAAACAAAUCCGGUAAACCAGCUAUCCUCCGUUCUUCUUCCUCUCUCCUCCAUUUAGUGAUCUUGGCUGCGUACCCUCCCGCACCAAAGUGAUGGGGGUUCUCGGCGGCUUUCAUAGCCUUCAUGGUAUUUUCUUCGCUCAGGACUUUUGCUUCCGGCGUGUUCUUCUAUUGUACGAACUCCUCCCACAUUUCUGGAGGAAUCCUACCAAAGUUGUCCCUAUCAUUCUUGCCUUUCUUUACAUAGUCUGUAUUAAAAAUAGACCUCCAAUUCCUGAAACAUCUCCCAUGGAGGCCCUUAGCAAAUUUUCUUGCGGAAUCCUCUUGACCUUCAAGAAAAGUGAACUUUUCUUUCAAUAUGACCCACAAAACAUCCUUUGUAGUGGUAGGCACAUUCUUCCUAUUACUAGUCAUGAUCCAGGUCUGCAAUUUAUCUCUGAUAAUAGCUCCACAUAUGUUCUGAAACCUAGCAGCUAUCCCCUCAGCUAAUAUGGGCUCACCUUUGGAGCCAAGCAUUUCUAUGACGAGAGUACCUUUCUCAGGGAUCUGGUUUCGACUUUUUUUCCCAUGUUGCUUUUUCGGAGCACUACUAGAGUUGAUGUUCUACGACAUCGCAGCGGCAAAUGAACCGAGGAUUGGUCAUCGUUCUAUAGAGAAAACAAUAGUUGGAGUUUAUCAUCUUCAUGUGAACAACAAACGCAUCACUAGCUAGUAUAUGAAUGUGCAUGCAGGUACCUGAUGAUCCGCGGUUGGAUCGUAUUCAAGGUCAUCUUCAUCUAGAUGCUUGCGAGUCCUAGGUGGGCUUGGUUCAUACUCAAGUGGAGUAGAAUACGAUCCAAAUGAACCGUCGGAAUCAGAAUCCUCCUCGCGGAUUCAGUCGCUCUUAAUAUGCAAAAUUGUAAUACUUGCAAUUAAAAAUUAUUCAUGAAUUUAUGCAUAUCAACACAAAUAUGAACACCUAAUUAGUUCAAAAUAUUUCAAUUGGUUCAAAAUAUUGCACUCAAAAUAUUUCUUAUGCAUUUGACAUAAAAAUAUUUCUAUUGGUUGAAAAUAUUGCACUCAAAAUAUUUCUUAUGCAUUUCUUAUGCAGGCCUUGUUUCAUUUCUACUCUACUUAACAUUUUUCUUUUUCUUUUUUCAUUUUUUGCACCAUUGUGAAGUAACACAUAAAAAUAAUUAUCUUAUAUACACCAGUACAAUUUUUUAUAUUUAGUUGUUUGGUAGAAGUUUCAAUAGUUUUGAAACUGAUUUACAAAUUCUAAAUUUGGUCAUAAAUUCUACAAAUUGAAGUGGCUUCCCAAAAUGAUACAUCCCUCACAUAGUUUCUUAUAAUUCAAGUCAAACUUUGAUAUUUGAAUACCUUAAAACAUGUUCGAACUCAAAUUUGGACACGACCUUAUGUUGACUAUAACAUUGGAAAAUAUCAAGUUACUUUAGAAAUUAUUAUGCAAAAAUAUGUUUUUCUAUCCUCCAUAUAGGUUGAAACACCUCAUGAGUUAGAGGGUGUUUCAACCCAUAGUGACAAGUGAACUAACUACUCGUUAUAAUUUGUGUUAUCUAUGAAAUAAUAUUUUUUGAAUUCACUUAAUAAUAUUUAUAUUCAUGUGUAAAAGUUUGAAAUAAUUUUGAAAUCAUUUGCGAAGUAUUUAAAUAAUUUUGAACCCACUGCGCCGGCGGGUGCCUCAAUUCUGGCGGGCCGCGCGCCGUACCCCGUCCAUCACUGCUGUGCUCCUCCCCACCCGAGACUCCUCCACCGCGUACACUGUGCGCUGCCGUCCUCCCCACUUAUGUUUUUUUUCCAUUUUUUCCUUUUUGUUCAAGUAGAUCUAAUUAUUUGAUUGAAAUUCUAUUAGCAUAUAUAUGGUUUUUUGUAUGGAUUUUACUUACAUUGCAAUUGCUAUAAUUUGCUAGUUGUGGUGUAAAUCGCUUACAUGGAUAAGUUGUUCAAAUAAGUUUUGCAUUAUUUUUUCUAAAUUAUUUGCUUCCAGUAUAUAUUAUUUUUUCAUAUAGACAGUGUAAAUUUUGUUUAGAUAAGGAAUGUGUGAGAAAUUAAAAGUUGUUACGUUUUACCAUUUUUAUUCCAUGCAAUUGCAAAAUAAUAAUAAACAUGUUAUGAUUAGUUAUAACAAUGUUCAUGAGAUCUAAACCAACAAUUGUAAUUUUUUUCCAUUAUUUUGGAUAAUCUUUUAUUCUGAGUAUUUUGUAAAUUUUAUGUGGAUAGUUUGGGCUAACUAUGGCAAGUGGAAGACAUGGUGGUGCCGGCCGUGGAGGUGGCCGCCGUGGUGGUGGUGGCCGUGGAGGUGGCAGGGGACAUUUCGGACACGAUAACACUCCCGCUAGUCUUCAUUUUGUAAAUUGCCAUUCAACGAUCAAACCAGAGGAACAAUUCCUAACAUAGUAAUAUUCUUUCCUUCUUUUAAUUGAUUUUGUUACUACACAUGAAUAAAUUCUAAAUUUACUUCAAUGCAGCUUAUCAAUAAUAUUAGAUGACUCAGAGAUAUUGUCGAGAUAUUGUCGAAGCUUUAGGUGAUACUUCUCCUGUGGUGCAAACAGAGGAUGUAGGACCAAAUAUGGAAAGAAAACAUCUCUUUUUUCAAGUACCUAUUCGACAUCAAGAUUUCACCUCAUUGUCACCAGGAUAGGCCAUCCCGAUGGUCUCAAUUGCCGCAUGGGGUAGCACAACACCAGCUAGGGUAACUGUUGACAGGACCGUCGUGGAGGCCUGCUUAGAGCAGCUUAACGAUCAUGGGUACUUUGUGCUAGACUUUUCAUUUUUUCGUAUUAGAUGGCUUGAGGAGGGAGACAACAAUGUGAUUGUGACUGCUGAGAGGCUUUCUCGGCUUCAUGACAUGGUAUGGAAUAUUCUUUUAUCAUUCUUUUAACUUUAGUAGUGUUGCAUCUUUUAACUUUCAUCAUGUUCUAAUCAUAUUUUAUAGGAUAUAAAUGGUACUACCAUUGACGAAGCGAGCCUUCAUGCGAUUCGGCAUCAAAUUAUGGAAAGGCUUCAUUUGACUUACAUGGGUGGAAACCUGAUGUUCACCCUAGAUUUGAAGUUCCAGGCUCAACUCACUUUAUAUAGGCCACAUAAGUUAACACCUCCAAUAUUUUCCAUUUAUAGUAAUGUAUCUGGUCAUCCAUGUGAACCGAAGGAGAGUGCACUCAUCUGUACUCUAACUUAUUUUGACCAAGUUCUGGGUUGGACGAUUGGAGACAUUAACUAUAUUCCAUAUCUCUUUAGUUCUGGGCUGGACGAUUGGAGACAUUAAUUAUAUUCCAUAUCUAAGGAGAUGAGCCGGACUAUGAAAUAUGUAACAUGCAUGAUUGUACCGCUACCAUUUUCUUAUGCAUUUGAACUUGUUCUCUCUAGGAUCUUUAAUUAUUGAUGUAAUAACUUGCACUAUUAUCAGAACUAGUUAUAUUGUAUUGUGGCAUGGAUGUACCCCUACCCUUUUCUUAUGCUAGCAGUCAGAAGAUAAUAAAAUCUAAUCCACAUUAAUAAAGUCUUACAAGAUAAUUAAUAAGUCUUACAAGAAUAUUAAUUAGUCUUACAACAUAAGAGAAAAUAAAUGUAAUUUAUCCUUUAACAAUUCUUCCUUCACAGUCAGUACGUAACCAUGGCUUCAUGAAUUUAUCAAUGCUUACUUCAACACACUUGAUUCUUCGUUCAUGGUCUUUGAAAAGGUCCAAUUCCUCGUAAUGAUUGUAAUCCUCAAUGUCCACUACACCUUCAACUCCAAGGAUCCUUUGUUUUCCAGAGACAACAAUGUGCUUCUUUGCAUUCGUAGGGUCGAUUAUGUAGAAUACCUGUGCAACACGCUCAGCGAGUACCCAUGGGUCAUCUUUGUAACCUACAUUAGCUAGGUCUACAAGUGUCAACCCAUAAUUAUCAUUGAAAGGAUCUUGUGAUGCAUAGAGGGGGGGACUGAAAAACUUCGCAGCGGUAUUAGAUGUGUCUGAACUUUCGACGCUGUGCUGGAACUUCCGAUCCAUCGAAAGUUCCGGUACAGCAUCAGAACUUCCAACAGAAUAGAGUGAGCUGAACGAAAUUCAAAAUGCAACCUCAAACUAUCAAUUCUAUUUGAAUCAAAAGAUACUAAAUGAAGUGUAAAGACUACUUCAUGUGAUAUAUAUGCAAGGAACCACUCAAAUAUUUAGAUCGGCUAAAAACAAGCCUCUAGAUCAAGCUAGAAACAAAGAACACAAUAAGCACACGAGACAAGAAAUUGUUACCGGAGUUCACUCUCACUAAGAGAGCUACGUCUCCAUUGAGGAGCUCACAAAGAGCCAGGUCCUCACUAACCCUUUACCUCCCUCAAUCAACCAUAAAGGAAAAUUGAGUCACUUACUAUGAAUCCACGAAGGAUGGGUGAUACAGACGCUCCCGGGUGCACUACACGAAGAGGGCGCUCAAACGGGCGAUGCCUAGCCAUCUAGAAGCGAGAUUCAAGAGUAACAAACGCGAAUCGAAGCCGAGGAUGCUUGAAGUGCUCUUGAAAUGAACUUGUUGAACUCUUCACUCAAACCUCAAGGCACUCACCUUUAAUCUUGCUCUCACUCAAACCUUAGCUCAAAGAAUUCAAGGAUUUGGCUCAAAUGGGUGAGGGAGAGGUGUAUUCAAUGCUCUAGGGGGCUUUUGUCUCAAGUUAGUUCAGCAGCCUUGAAUGGAGGGCUGAGGGGGUAUUUAUACCUGAGCCCCCAAAACUAACCAUUACAGUCCCGCUAUGUGCUUAUCGGAACUUACGACACAGUGUUGGAACUUCCGAUGGAGUUAGAACUGGUGUGCAGAGGACCCCUGUCGGGAGUUUCAAGAAACACCCGACACACAUUUAUCGGAAGUUCCGAUACACUAUCCUAUCGGAACUUCCGACACUCUCAAGUCAGACGUGCAGAGGACCCCUGCCGGGACUAUCUGGAAACUUCCAAUACGUAUCGGAACUUCCGAUACAGUAUUGGAACUUCCGAUACACUCAGAAAAUCUGAGAAAAAGGUUGUGCAAGUGGGUUUUUUGUGUCUCUCAAUGGGUGGUCAGCAUCUCAAGUGAGCACUUUAGCAUCUUCAAGCUAUCCAUCCGCAUCCCCCUUAAUAGUACGGCGUUCCUAAACUCAAAUUCAAAAUUAGAAAAUAUAAAUGAAAAUCCUUUUGAGCUCAACACCAUUCUAUUUUUGCAUUUGGGCGUUUCUUGAGAAUCUUUAAGUACACCUUUGCACUCUUUUGCAAUUAAACCCUGUCAAUCACUUGAUAAUCAUAUUAGUCCCCUAAUCAUGCACGUCAUCAACACCAAAACCCACAUAGGGGGCGAAAUGCACUUACAGUCAUCCGUAACGCCAUUCGGGUGUUUCACCCAUUGGCACCAAAAGAUGGGGAUCCGGAUAUUCUCUCCAUAAUCAAGUUCCCAUAUUUCCUCUAUGAAACCGUAGUAAGUUAUGGUCUUUCCGGAUGUAUCGAUCGCCUCUAUGCGAACACCAUUGUUUUGGUAAGCCAUGCUUUUGUUGUCCUUUGCGGUGGUAUAAAAUGUGUAUCCAUUAAUUUCAUAUGCUUUCCAUGAGGUGACAUUGCUUGAUGGUCUAGAUGCCAACCUGGUCAAUGUUACAUCUUCUGUGGAAUUUUCUUGAAAUAGAUGCUCAUGGUCCUUCAACCAUGAUGGAAACUGACGCUUUUGCUCUUUUGAUGAUCCAAUUCUCCGAGCGACCAUUACUUUGUCCACGGACCUUAUUUAGGUGUUUCUCAAUGAAGGGCUCCACUAUUGCAAGUUAUUGUAGAACGAUUGAAUGCGCUUUCUCCAAUUGUUGAUUGUCCUUGUCUAUGAAUCUUUUCAUUCCAAUGGUACCUCUCCCGGACAAUCUACCCUCGUGUCAAGAUUCCGGUAAACCAAUAGCUCUCUUAUCUUUUAUGUAAUCUAUACAGCAAUCAACACUCUUUUCUGUAUGGUAGCUCUCGAUCAUGCUGCCCUCUAGAAAGGUCUUAUUUCUCAUGUAUCCAUUGAGAGUCGACAUGAACCAUUCGUAUGUCCACAUCUGAAGUACAUAGGCCCUAGUUCAGUUAUUUGCUGGACCAUGUGGACCAUGAGAUGUUCCAUGAUAUCGCAAAAGGAAGGAGGGAAGCACAUCUCGAGCUGGGCUUGAGUUUCCGACACAAACAGUUGAAGCCUAGCCAAAUUGACACAAUCAAUCACUUUUUGCAAAAUCACGUUGAAGAAAUAACACAUCCGUGUGAUAACCAUCUUCACGAAUACUGGUUUGAUAGCCCCGAUCGCAAUAACGAGAAAAACUAUGAUCAUCACAUGGCAAUCAUGAGAGUUAUAGCUGGCAGGCAUCAUGUCCUUCAAUGAGACUAGUGACCGGAUGUUUGAUGAGAAUCCGGUCGGCACUUUCAACCCGCGCAAGCACUUGCACAUAGCCAAUCUCUCUGCUGGUGUUAAGUUGUAACUAGCCGGGGAAGGUAAUGCUUACCAUUAGAUAGUUCUUGCAGGUGGAGCUCUGGCCUAAUUUGAAGGUCAACAAGAUCCUUUCAUGAUUUUAGUUCAUCCUUUGCCUUGCCUGAUAAGCCCAAUAAUCCGAUGGUGCUAUCAAACACAUUCUUCUGAAGAUGCAUCCCAUCAUUGGCAUGGCGCACUGCCAGCUCUUGCCAGUAUAGCAAAUACUUAAAGAAGAUAGACAUCUUCUUAAAUGGCACAUCUGCGACGUCUGUAGUUUUAGCCUGCUUUCUUUCCCUUUUUGACUUAUCACCGCCACCUAAUGACUUCUUACUGAGUUUGAACUUGACCUUCUCGCACAUUUCAAAUACUAUUUUAUCAGUAGCUGGUUUUGGAGCAAAAUCAUUCUCAUUGGUGCCAUCAAAGAAAUCCUUCAUCCUCCGAUAUUUAUGCAUCUUCAAUAAGAAGCGCCUAUGUCGCAUGAACACUAUCUUCAUAGAUCCCUUAAGGUACACAGAUGAUGUUCCAUCCAGGCAAACUACGCAUGUUGUCUUACCUUUUACCUGACCUGUCAGGACAAACAGGGUGGGAUAAUCAUUGAUGGUAAUAAAGAUAAUGGCCCUUAGUGUGAAGUGCUCGUGUCUGUACUCAUCCCACAUCCGAACCCCAUCUUCCCAAAGGUUCUGUAUAUCUUCCAUCAGUGGCUCAAGGAAAACAUCUAAGUCGAUGCCAGGCUGCUUCGGGCCUUGUAUGAGAAUGGUUAGCAAAAGGAACUUUCUCUUGUGACAUAGCUAUGGGAAAGGUUAUAUAUGGUCAUCAGCACUGGCCAUGUGCUGUGCGCGCUGCUUUUUUCACCAAACGGAUUCAUGCCGUCUAUACUCAACGUGAACCGUACAUUCCUUUUUUUUCUCUAAAAACUCUGGAUGAUUGGCAUCGAAGGUCCUCCACUAGUGAGCAUCGGAAGGAUUUUGAAGCUUUUUGUCAUCCUUUACUGGGCGAUCAACAUGCCAAGUCAUCAUUUCAGUAGUCUUUGGGUUUAAGAACAAACACUUCAGAUGGUCCACCACCGACAAGUACCACAUCACUAGGGUAGGAACUCUGCACUGAGUCGUCAUGUCAAUACCUAUACAGGACUUAUCCUCCACUUGAGCACAAGCACUUUUCUUUUCAACCUUUUUCCUCUUAUUCCCGAUGGAGGAACUGGCACAGUCCUCACAGAAAUUGGCAUUACUUUUGUAACAGCUAGCAUCGCAAUUUGGACACUUUCCAAUACCGCAUACUCACCAUGAUACAGUAUGCAGUGGUUCCUGCAUACGUGUAUUCUCUGCACACGCAUGUUCAAUGGAUUGAUAAUCUUCUUUGCUUCGUAUGUGUUUUUUGGCACAAAGUUCGGCUUCGGGAUCAAAUUGCCUAGCAGAGUAAGGAGAUCAUUGAAACUAUUGUCUGACCAGCUGAAUUUAGUCUUUAGGAUCAGAAGAUGAAGGACGAAAUGCAGCACUGUCCACUCCUUCCCACAUCCCACAUACAUACGGUCCUUUGCUGCCUUCUUGAGCGUCUCGAAAUUCUCUAACCCUUUAGCACUCCCUAGCAACACUUCCGGAUCAAUGUGGCGCAACAUAUCCUCCAUAUCAACAUCACCAUUUUGAUCUCCACAGUCGUAAUCAUCAUCCAUCAUAACAUGAUCAUUGUUGUUUGCAUCAUCACCACCCACUUCAUCACAGCCAGUAUUGAUGUAUGUGUUAUUGGAAGUACCUCCUGCCUCUCCAUGGUGGGACCAAAUUGUGUAAUCAUCCACAAAAUCUCGCUUUAUCAAAUGCCUCUUAAUGACAUUAGUAUCCUCACAUACAAUUUUGUUGCUACAGUCAAAACACGGACAACGUAUUUGCUUUGUCUUGCAAAUGCGAGUGUGCUUCUUCGCAGCCUCUACAAACUUCGCUACCUCUGACAUGAAAGUAGGCAAAUGUCUCCGUAUGCCAUAUAUUCAUGCUCUUUGAUCCAUCUUUAAUAACCUAUGAGCUAUUCCAUAAACUAAAUUGAAUUAUGGAUGUUUUUGGUGUAGCCACCCUUCAGAGAAAUCAAGAGCAAAACCUUCCCCCUUAGAUUUGGUAUUUUUGAAGAUUUUCCCAAGCAGUUAAACCUAGGAUGUAAUAAUUCAUAAGAAGAAUGAAAAAAAUCAAACUCAAUUAUAUAUUAAUUCAAUCAACUUCAUUAAUUGAAACUAUGGAUGUAAUAAUUAAUAAGUAGGGGAAAUAUAAUAAAAACCAAUUCUAUAUUACCCUAAAUGAGAAUAAUUGAACCAUGGAUGUAAUAAUUAAUAAGAAGAAGGGAAAAAUCAAACUCAAUUAUAUAUUAAGAUAAUCAACUUCAUUAAUUAAAACUAUGGAUGUAACAAUUAAUAAGAAGGGAAAAUAUAAUCAAACUCAAUUCUAUAUUACAUUAAAAUGACAAACAUAGCAUUGUAAUGGUUAUAAUAUGACCAUAGAAUUGUAUUCACAAAAAUAAUCCAUUUCUAUUUUUUUUCUCUCUUCCCUCCUCUCUCUCUCCUAGUUCUAGAUCUAGAUCUAGAUGAUAAGCUAAUGAAGCUAGAUAUGAUGGAUAGAAGUUCAAAAAGGAGGUUGGAAUGGUACAAACCCACCUUAUAUAGCCAUCUCCUCCAAGAAAAUCAAGAGCAAAAUCUUCCUCCUUAGAUUUAGUGUUUUUGGAGCUUUUCCCUAGCUCCUCUCGGGCAAGCUCCAAAUGGAAGGUUGCCUGGGGAAGAAGACGAAUAGGAGCAUUUAUGGUGGGCUCUGUGUUGGUGGGUGACAUAAGCCAACCGUCAGCACACUCUGUGCUAGCGGGUGACAUAAGCCAACCGUCAGCACAGAUCACUCCAUCUAUGCUGGCGGUGGGCUUAGGUCGCCCGCCAUCACAGAUGGGGCGAUCUGUGCUGGCGAGUGCUUGCGUCGCCCGCUAGCACAGUGGCCACUUUGCUGGCGGGUGCUCCCCCGCCAGCCCGAGGAAGCUUUGUGCUAGCGGGUGCCAAUCACGCCCGCCAGCACGCUAAUUUGCCUGUGCCAGUACAAAUCGUUUCUGGCGCAGCGAGGGGUAUCUCUAUUAAGAAAGUUUUUUUAUUUUUUUCUGUUCAGAAUAAGUUUAGUUCUCGCCAUGCACAUGAUCAAAUUAAACACGCGGCAAUUGUCUUGUACCAGGAGAUAAAGACUUUAUCUCAUGCAGCGAAUCCUAUGCCCAAUACCCAGCAUAUCAAGCAGCAAGCUGGGGCUCUUGUUGGUUCCUACGAGCCGUCUCCGGUUAUCUCUUAUCAUGUGGCCAAGGACAUCAGAAUCACUGAUGGCAUAUAUCAAUAAUACGCAUUUGAGCUCACGCUGACAGGCUACGCAUAAAACCUUUGUCGCGUUGCUUUCGAUUCCCUGUUUCCUUAGAUUCCAAUAAGAUUUUUCAAUCUUGAUGACACGACUCAUUGAUAUCAGGUGCGGAUCAAACAUUUCAGAGUACCAUUGAUGGAACCUGCAUACUAAGAUUACGAUCGAAAAUGAGCUCAACUUUUGCAAAAGGUUGGCUGUCCCUGGCAUUUCAAAGUGUUUUAUUUGCUCCUCGUGAUGAAAUGCACCAAAAUUUCAUUUGGCCAAUAAUACCCUGACGUGAUUACCUUUUGAGAUCUGAAAAAUAUAAUAUCAUGUCAUCAAGCCACCAUAUUUAAUAUGAAAUUUUUUGAUGCAUCACUAUCUAAUAAAAUAACAGUUCCAUUAUUACCCUUGAACAACUGAUGCUAUGCUGGUUACCGUUCUUACCGAGGAACAGUUCAUCUUUCUGAUAACUACUCCGAUGCUAUUGGAUGCUUCUCAGCAUUCUCAGAGUAAGCGUACGUGUCUCCCAUGGAACCGGGCAGCAGCCUGCAGGUACUUUGCUAAAAUAAGCGCGGCUCCUCGUGUCAUGCUGUAACCAUCUGAAGUUUUAUUUUUCUGCUACAUUGGGAGCUUUUAUUUUCGUUAUGGCACAUUUGCAUUCUGCAAUUGAGUAAACAGUGACAAUUUUCAGACAUGCAGCUACACUACGGCACAACGGAUGUCGUUGUGCAAUAUGUAGUAGUGAAGAAUAUGAAUCACAACGCGCGUAUAUGAGCUGUUCUACUAGAAUGUGGUGACUGUUGAAGUCGUGAAGAAUAUCAUCUGCAAUGCAUGUAUAUGAACACACCCUUUCGAUGACAGGCAUCUGGUGCUAUGCUGCCUUUCUUUCUAAUUUCUUUCUGAUCUUGUCAGGAUCCUGAUUCUUGUUGAUCAGGUCCUUGUGCAGUAUUUCCUCAGUAUUUAUGAGAAAUUUUUCCCAUAUUACGAUUGUGUUGGGGUAACUUCACCAGACUCUUCGUUGGUUGUGUGCACAUCUAGUGAUGCAAAGUAGACCUGAACAAACUAGGCACGACCCAAUCCGAGCCUGACAGGCUAAGCCCGGGCCACGACGCUACAUUAGGGCUGAGCGUGGUGCUCAAAAAAAGUUGGGCUGGGCUGGACCCAGCCCAGCUGUUUAUUUAAUUUUAUUUUUGACAUAAAAAUGAUAGGUGGCUUGGCUAGCUUAAAAAAACCGAAAGCCUCAGCCCCAAAACUCUUCAUGCAUGGGCAGGCUUGGCGAUGUCUUUUGGACCUGAAACAUCUCAGGCUUUUUCUCAGCCGGGCUUAACUCUAAUGCAAAGGUUAGAUUGAUUUUCAAAUUUCAGCAUCAAAAAAAUUUAUAUGAUCAAAAAAGAAAUUAUGCAGGAGAUUACACAAUUCACCCGAAUUGUAUCCUUAUUUGGUAGGAUGAAGACACCUCUUCAUAAUGAUGUUAAGGUAUAAAAUUGUCCGCUUUAAUCCAUAUAAAUGGAAAGAAAUAUCUAGAAAUUAUCCCAUCAAUCAAGUUGAGGUGAGAAAAAUAUUUAUUUUCUUCUUAUGGGUCCUGUAAGAUCUGAUCUGCAUCCAAAAUCCACUUGUGGAUCAACUCCCCACGUGGAACGAACCUGCAUAUACAUAGAACUUUUCUUAUACUUGUCCCCACUUCACAUAAAAGCUAGUUUAAUCUUGACAAUGUUUGAGUGACAUGGAUUAUAAGCUAGCAUGAACCUACAAGUUGCAACUAAUUUCACUACAAUAGAAUGCAUGUUCCAGAUAUUACAGGCCCAAUUAUGAAAACACAAGUUGAUACGAGUCAAGAAGCUGCAAUUGCAUUAAAAAGGAAAGAAAGAGACUAAUAAGAUAUAAAUUGAAAAGAAGAAUUAUAUAACUCUUAUGGAAAAUAUAAGUGGGUUAGUAAAAGUUUUGAAAUAUGUGAAUCGGGACUAGAUUAAUUGCUAGCCAAUGGACCUUUUGUGCUGGCGGGUGGCAAUCAUGCCCGCCAGCACCCAAAAAUCAAGGUGCUAGCACAAAUCGUUUCUGAUGUAGUGGGAGAUAGCUACCUAGCCGAGACAAAGUUACAUCAAGCACAAAAAAUUGUAGGACGACUCCAAAUAUCUCUGACGCUAUUGAAUCACCAUGGUUUGGCUCUCUUUACGAACACAGCACUUCCUCCACGAGAAUACAUCAUGGGAAAUAACACCAAAGCAGAAUAGAAACGUAUAGUCAAAUAUCUAAAUAGCACCAUUGUAUGAUGUAGCGAUUCAGGAAUACAACAUGAAGGCGGUUUCUUAAGAAUAGUGGGCUGGUUUUCGAGUUUUAAGGCUUACGUCCAUAUUUGCAUCGCCAUGACUAGUUGCUACUUCUAAGUCAUUUAUCUGUUCAACGUAACUUGAGUGUUUUGGGUUGUUCCUUGCAUCUGCUAUAAAUGCAAUAUACAACCAACUGAAGAGUACUAGUUAAACACCCGACGCUGUUUGGUGCCUUCAGAACAAAACAAGUUGGUCAGUAACUCAGUUUGACCAUAGUGGAGUCAAUGUAAAGCCAGGUUGCAUAUAUACUAACCAUGAUAUAGGGAUCCCUUCCAAGUAUUCCAUAUACCACACAGAUUAAACUGGUUAAUAAGGAAAACAACGACAGGUAGAAAGGCAUGAACUCCACACUUUUCAUUGUUUUUUUUACCACCGCCGGUUUAUACUAAAACUAGUACUAAAGUUGUUUUUUGGAUGGAUACUAAAGUUGUUUUUUUUACCACUGCCAGGUGAAAACGUAUCACCGCCGGUUCUGAUGACCUCAUUGGUGAUAACCCUUUCUGUAGUAGUGAAAGGUUGUUAGUGAAACCAAUAUAUGGUAGAAUAUUAAAUGCGAAGUACCUCUUUUCCUAUUCAUACGAGAAACGAUGUUUUCGGCAAACCCAUAGCAAUGUAGACAAAGUGAUCUUCAUGUAUUUGCUAGGCAUCUAGCUAAUAAAAUUAUAUUCCACCUAUGCGCCUUAGGGAAUCAUAAAAGCUUUCAUGUUUUCAUCAUCGUUCAUUGCUGUUCCAUUCCACCUAAUAACAAACCUAGCUUAUGACUUUCUUGACCACAUAGCUUAUUGGGUAUUUGGGUACAAGACAUUAGGCAUUGCUGCAGAGAAGGGAAGACGGAGAGCUGAUAUACAUGGGCUGCUGAUCAGCUUUGGAGAUGGUGUGUGGAAUUCAUCACUGAACAUGAUGUCAAUAAUAGGCUAUGUGUUGCUUGAUAUAUGCCAAUCACCAUAUGACUUGUUACAUUAUUGCUUUGCGACUUCGGCCUUCAGAUGAAAUGGGACUCUCCUGCUGCCGUCUCUACAACGUACGUUGACUGCCUCACAAGAGUAAGGUCGUCAGCAAGGCUGCGAUGUUGCCAACUAUCAUUAAUGUAUGUAUUGGCUCUCGGUAGCAACCAGGAGGGAUACAUCAUAUCCAUGCCAGUUCUUAACAACAUUCGGCAUGGAUAAUAUACUUAUCCAUGUGGGCCCAUUAACAAUUGAUACAGAUAUGUGACAAUCCCCAACUAGCCCCACUCUCGGAAAUCAUAUACACAAUCAUAUACUUUGUAUGCUCCUCCGUGGACAAACGGAGGAUGGCGGCGUUGGUGUCGCUCCUCCCGAGGCAUCGCCUUGCAUGAUAUUCUCGCUCUACCUCCACUAGCUUCGGGUUGUUAGGCAAUCGGUGAUGUGCAUGCGUUCAUGGUGUCCUUAUCUCCUGCAGGUUUCAAGCGUCUUAGGUCGUGUUUAGCGUGGUGGUGGUGCUGUUUUUUCUUUUGUUGUGUUUUUGCUGUUGGUCGUAGGUGAUGGUUCUUGUAACUCUGCGCUUUGGGGUCUCUCCUAAAGUUGCAUCAUUGUAAUUCUCUUCUUCUUAAUGAAAAAUGUGCUAUGCACGUCUUAAAAAACACCGUGUCCGUGACGCUGAAUUCACAUUUACAACUAAUGAAUGGGAUAUAUGUGUUGUAAUCAAUUUAAAUUUCCUAUCGGUUCCUCUUUUUUUCAAGGAAUACAUUGGGAAAUAAUCAAAAUGGUCACAUAGAAGAUAAAUGAUGGAUUUAUAUUUUGUUUAUGUUUUCUACCAUUUGUUUAAAACAAGUCAUGUAAAUUUCAUAUAUAUUGAUGGACAAACUCUGAAUCCUUGGUGUUGUCAACCCAUCUCCUUUUUAUGGCUAGCUGAUGAUACGAGGCCCUUAUAGUGGCAAAUUAUUUCAUAACAUGCCUCUAAGUAUUCUUAAUACUACUUCCCACUCACUCUAAACGAAUGGUAGAAAACAUAUUCAUCUUCAUCAGAAGAAUGUCAUGAGUGGAAUUGCAUUUAUAAUCCUAGGGCAGUAAAAACAUACAAUUACAUAUUUUGAUUUGUAAACUAUAUACACUAGACAUCAGACGACCCGUUUGCCAUGUGUAUGUUCCUUCCUGUUCAUUUUCUUUAGAGGGUACAUUAUAGACAAACACUCAACACAGAUCACACUCACACACCACCAUGCAUGUGCAUACGUUAGGGGACACACAAGGAACGUUAGUGGGCACUAGCGUGUGUACUCCUAAUAUAGAUAAGCUAGUGGGCAUUAGUAGUGUCGAGUAAAAACAGUGGACACCAGCAUGGAGCCAAGAACUUGAGGCGGGCUGACCGUAUGCCCAGUGCGGCAGUGCCCACAAGCACAACACUAACCACCAAGGUACUGCCCAGUUUCCAUUGCGCGGUAGCGAUACAUUGCCUUAUCCCUGUCGGCUGUCGGUUUAUGGUUAGAAAUGGCAGAGAAAGUGUGCUGCUUACCAUUCUAGCAAAGGAAUAUAUUUAUUUUACUGACAACCAUUCUGAAGCUGCUACUGGCUGCUGCUCAGCAUGUUCAGAGCAGGCGUGUUUCGCCGAGAACCUUUGCAGACACUUUGCUGAAAUGAGUGCGGCUCCUUUCGUCCAGUGAGUACCAAGUGAUAAUUUUCAGACAUGCAGCUAACUAUACGGCUCAAAGGCUGUCCUAGUGCUAUGUAGUGAAGAAUAUCAACCACAACGCCUGUCUAUGUGGUGUUGUGCUAGAAGUAGAAGGCGGUGAUUGGUGAAGAAUAUCAGCUCUAUUGUUGCACGCAUAUGAGCGUCGUCCUUUCGGUGGCAGGCAUCUGGUGCUAUGCUAAUUCUUUUGUUUUACUUUAUUCGAAGAUAUGCAACAUUUGCACGAUGACUUCUUAGCUUUCUGAUCUGGUCAGGAUCAUUAGUAGAGAAAUUUUGACUGUGUGCAUCCAAUAAUGAUGCCAAGAUAAUAUUAAGAUUGAUUUUCCGAUUCCUUGUAUCUAAAAGAAAAGGUUCUAUAUGUUUGUACAAGAAAUUCUACUGGACACUGCAGGCCUUUGCCCGAACUGUGUGUCUGUGCAUACUUGAUUGAGGAUAAAAUUUUGUUUGCAAAUCUAUGUUAGUAUUUUAUAAAAAGUGGUGGGUUAAGACAUCUUAUUCACUUUAAGGUCUACAUUAAUUAUAUAUUAAUCCCUAUCAAAGCAAAUAAUACAUAUUAAUUCUCUCGGUAACCGAGGGGAGAAGAAUAUGCAUGUCUUUUUUUACGGACAAAUUAUGAAGAGGAUAUGUGUUGUGCCUUAGUUUAUUUCACAGGUUGCUUUCCCUCCUACGACGUGCCGGAGCACGGGGACUCGUCCACCCCCGGCCCCAAGAUGACGCCACGACGGGGCGCUCCAACGUACACAUAUAGACACUCAAACUGCAGCUGCAAUUGAAUUAUAAAAGUAAAUAUGCAAACUGAGAUAUGGCGCUAUUGGGUGGAGAGAGGAGAGAGAGCUUCCUGGCCAACAAAACUACCUAAAGCAAAUAAUUUUGUACGACUUCAAUGGAAUAUCAGUAUAUCACUAAUUCUAUUGGAUCUCCACAGUUCGGCUCUCCAUACAUCAUGAAAUAUACCCUACACGUACUAUCAAAUAGAGGUUUGUUACGGUGUCUGCGAGGGUUUAAUUUGGAUUUAGACCAAUGGACGGCUGUCGUUAUUGGGCUCUACGCAGCUAAAGUUUAGAAACUUUGACCAUUCAUAUACAUGAAAGUAUUAAGUUUCAUCACAUUAAAAUGAGAGUAAUUAAUAGAUUUGUCCUGGGAAUACCCUCAAAAGAGAAUAUAUUUUCGUAACGUCAACAAAUUUAAAAUGCAUUAAACAAGUAAUGGUCAAAGAUAUGUAUUACCAGAAAACAUUUAUGCUGGCUGGCGGGUUUCGCACUCGCCAGCAACCUUGAGCUGGCAGAAAUCGGCCUUUCUGCUAGCGGGUUCAUGACCGCCACCGCAGAGGCAUGUGCGCUGGUGGACGAGUUAAGUCAGCCGCCACCACAGAAUACAUUUCCACCGGCUAGUACUAAUAAUUUAGGAAAACAAAAAUAAAGUUGCAUCCCAUAUUGCCCGUCAUGCGUCAGGGUGCCAACGGGAUGCAAUGGUAUUUGUUCCCGACAGAUCCCUUGAGGUAGAGAAUACUAGAUCGACGAUUUACCAAACAAAUCAAACAAAUCUUGCAACUUACAUCUCUUCCAAGAAGAUACAUUUGGAUUUGAGGGCUACAAGCAAAUAAAAGAUUCUGCACAUCGUAAUAGGCUAAUGGCCGAUAACAAAGGAGCUAAAAGAGAAUAAAAAUGAAACUAGAGAUUCUUUUAAAAAAACGAAACCAGAGAGCAAACAAGCAACUCAGUCAAUCUAAGCAAGCUUCCCGGCCCCUGCACUUGCCCACGGCCACCGUGGAACUCUGCACGCCGCACCUGCACUUUGUUGUGACUUGUGAGCAUUACCGGAGAGGACACGACGGAGCCAGACGAGGAAGGAGGAUGACGAGCUCCACAGGCUGGCGCCUCCACUAGCCGCCCGCGCCGCUGCUCUUCUAGCGCGCGCCGACCACUGCUCUGCCUCCACACCCGCCGCUGCCAUGGACUCCGCCUCCACGCCACCGUUCUUCUAGCGCACGCCAACUGCUGCUCCGCCUCCACACCUACCGGUCGCCGCUGUCGUGCACUCUACCUCCGCGCCCACGUGCCGCUGCUGCCAUGAACUCCACGCCGACCGCUACUGCUCGUUGCCGCCGUCGGCCUUGUGCGGAGGAAGGAAACGGAUAAAGCAGAGAGAGGAACGAGAUGUGAGGAUAGGAGAGAACGGGGGGAGAUAAAAGGGAGAGAGAGGGAAGCCUGCGCGUGAAUUUUUUUCGUUGACACUUCGCGACUGGGAAUUUUUGUUUCCCCACCAAAUCUGGUACCAUUAGCGAUGGCAGGUGUUUCCAUCUGUGGUGAUGGGUGACAUAUGCACCUGCCAGCACAAAGCCUUCUAAUUUUUCUCUUUACUUUUAAUUUUUUUAAAACAAGUAGAUUCAUUUAAAAUUAUAACAACUCUUACAAAAGAAUACAACAAAUUAUAUUGAGAUAUGUACGAUGAUUUUUUUUUGUCAAGUUAGUUCACAAGUUUGAAAGUCUAACUUGAGUCCUAUGAAACAAUGUAAGGUAAUGUAACUAUUUGUUAAUAAUGUAUGGUCUAAUGUUCUUAAAAUAUAUUGAAACUUUUAUCAUAGGAUAGUGCACUCAUAAAAUGAUUUUGCACCGACUUAUAUAAUUUUCAGACCACAUUUAGAUAUUUUUACAAUUUGUUUUCACCAAAAGUCUAAAUAGAAGUGACAAAUAUACCUAACAAACUUUGUGAUUUUUUCGUGUACUUUCGUGGUUUAGGCUAAAAUGGAAUAUAUGUCUUUAACAUCAUUUUUCUAAAAUUUUAAAUCUUAUUUGUGAAAAAAAUUAGUUCAAGUAUCAAUUAAUUUUAAUAAACACGCUUAUAAUCAUUUAAAUCUUAGAAAAUAGUAAAUUAUUUCUAAAAAUUUUGAAACUCCUACACAACAACACAUAUGUAAUCUAAUAUAUGUUAAAAAUAUAUUGUGAUAUGAAGAUAAUUAUUUUAGCUAACUAAAUACUUUUGGCCCUACUGAUGAAUGUACAUUGAAAUGUAUUUGUGCUGACGAGUGACAUAAGCACUCGCCAGCACAAAUGGAGGCCAUUUGUGUUGGCGGGUGCUUAUGCAUCUGUGCUGGCGGGUUUUAAUGUGCCGGCUCCAAUGUCUUUUGUGUUGACGGGUGGCAAUUAGACCCGCCAACAACUAAAAAUUCAUGUAUCAGCACAAAUCAUUUUUGACGUAGUGUUAGACCAUGCUGAUGAUGUCCAAAAUGACAAGAGAAAAUUAAACGGGGGAAAGUAAUGGGGCUUGGUACUAGGAUCAUUAGUUCCCAGAUUCCUGUUGCGUUUGUAUGUCAUGGAUGCCUACACUCAUCCCCGAUCUUGGUCCUGAACAAACUUUAUUUAAUCUUCUGUGCAUAUAAAAAUUAUCUUAUCCUGCCGGCUGGCAUUUGAGAAUCAAGCAUCAGAUCAUGACAACAUUAUAACCAUGUCUGAAAGUCCUUUUUGCUAACAUUGUUUCCACUCUAGUUCAUUGAAUUUAGACCGUUAACUAAAAGGACCUGAUUGGCAUCAGAAAAAGGAAGGGUGGAGAUAAGUCAAAAUCACACAUUCCAAGCGGUUGAAUAUAGUACCACACUUUUUUUUGAAAGGAUAUAGUACCACACUUUCACGAUAAUGCCUGGCGCACUAACCCUGAGCAAAAUUCUAGCCAGAGGGAGAAAGAACGCAUGCAAUGUCUAUUUGGAUCUCUUCAUUUGGGCUGAAUUAAAAAUCUAAUCAUGGCUGCCGCCGCAACAUGGAAUUGGAAUAUGACAUUGCAGUUCUUUCCACAGCUCAAGUUGCUUGGGUAAAAAAGGAAAGAGAGAUUCCAUAGGAGCCGUUUGGUCGGCGCUCUGUCGUCAACCAGCCAAACCUAGCUACGCAGACAGGAUCGUGUAAAGUACAGUACGCCCGAAGCGGCCCAUGAUAUUGUAUGCUUCCUCGCAAUGAUCGUUUCUGAUCCACACCAUCUUUGGCCCAGGCCCUUUUCUCAACACAUCCACCCCACACCAGUCUGAUGUACUAUGCGGCAGCUCCUCACUGUCGUAGAGCCGUAAUCCGGCUACACUGGGGCUUCUUUCUAUCACACCCUCACCUCCUCCAAUGCCCCAACUGGUGGCAAUGCGGCAAACCAUCACCAAUGUCGACCCAACUCUGCCCAAAGGCACCUCAUCUCUAAUCCCACUUUCCACCGAUCACCAAACUUAAUAUUAGCUCUGUUCCAAAUUACUAUUUAUUUUUUUACCUUUUCUAGAUGUAUAAUAUAUACUAUAUCUAUCUAUAUAUAAACGUUAUGUAUAUAGAAAAAUCAAAAUGAAUAGUAAUUUAGGAUGGAGGAAGUAAUUAUCACUGGUGACAUGCGGCACAAGGAAUGGCAACGACUGCACAAGGAGAGCCAAGAUUGAAUACGGCUCACUGCCGUAUGGCUGUCCCAGGCUGUGUUUGCUUCUCACAAUGAAGCAGGACCCACCGGCAACCGGCCGGCAGGCGCCAUCCACCGGCGAACACCCCUGAGUUGUUCUCGGUUUUUUUUUUUUUGAAAUAAGUUUGUUCACGGUUAUAUCUCCGGCAGAUGACCGUUUCUCCCCCUCCGUGACUGAAUUCUGAUUUACAAAAAGUAGCGAUAGAAGUUCCUCUUGGCUAAUUACUCCUCCGGUGCUGAAACUGACAGGUCUGCAGGACAGUCUUGGUCUCUUGUAGGCUUAUGAAGUAACGUUUUCUACAUGCUCAAUUCACAAACACAAAUCACUUUGGGAUUACAUAAUUCUUCAAGCAAAAUAAGACGAAGGCUGGUCAGACUGCCAUCCAUCUAAACUUAAAAGUUAAAUUGGUGAUCCGAGAAAGACAAAUGUUUGAACAUGAGAUGGACCUGUACUAUAUUUCAUUUGUUGUGUCCCACGGAUUCUUUCGACUCUAAUAUCGAACAUUUUACAUUAAAUUCAAUAAGAUUUUCUGAAAGGUGUGUUGUUGAAGCGAACCCAGGAAAGCUUCAGCAGUGGCACCUUUCUAAACCAUAUAAGCAAUUCUUCCACUCUUACUACAUCUGCAAAUCAUGCAUGAUAAAACCAUCCAGCAAAAAGAAAGUAGUAUAUACAUGGCAUAUUGGCAUCACCCAUUACAAUAAGCACUGGUAAUUAGUACAACAAAGAAACCAAAUACUAUUACAGCAAUUGCACGCACGCUUUCUAGCUAGUGUUUCAAAAGCAGAGGAAGCCACCCUUGACCGCCGGCGGCAAGCUGGACUCCCCGCAGAGGCAGUCCACCUUCCACCCAGGCAGCGGUCCCACGUUGUCACCCUCAGCUCUUCUGCCGUCGCUGCCGCGCCACGCGGUGGCCGGAGACGGCGUGCCCGGUGUGCUGGGUUCCUUGCCCGCCUGCUUAUUCACCUCGUAGAUGGCAACGCCAACGCUGCCGCUCGCCGGCGCCACGUCGGGACCGGCGACAGUUAUCUCCGUCAUCUUACCCCUCCUCUCCAUGCCCAGAUCUCCAAUUCCUGCACACUGUUUGGUGAUUUUUUUUUUCUUGGCGAGUCUGCGUGCUUUUCUAUAUUAGCUUCCUGAAAUUGAGAAGCUGUUUUAUAGCUAGGACGACAGAGAAGAUGAUGGCAGCCGGGAAGAUGACUCGGCUGUCAAUUCCGGGAAGAAGACGAUAGCCAUAAAUGAUGAGCAACAGGUGGCAUGAAAUGGAUAAGAACGUGAC